AAGGUAUUGAAAUAAGAUUUUUAAUGAGUGCUAAGAGAAUGAUUGAACAAUUAUAGGCUUUCUUUAGUUAAAUAAUUAAAUUUAAUUUUUUUAGUGCAAAAGCAAAAAUUAAAUUUAGGGACAAGAAGACCCUAUGAAUUUUAAUUUAAUUUAUAAUUUGAAAUUUUAAAUUAAAUUUGAUUGGGGCGAUGGAAAAAGAAUGAGUAUCUUUUUUAGUUUUAAAAAUUGGUUCCGUUUUUAACGAUUAAAUGAGAAAAAUACUCUAGGGAUAACAGCGUAA
Molecule: ribosomal RNA, 280 nt
Filed under: Ixodes persulcatus (taiga tick)
Lineage: Eukaryota; Metazoa; Arthropoda; Arachnida; Ixodida; Ixodidae
Description: partial 16S ribosomal RNA
Source: RNAcentral